This 1063-nucleotide long non-coding RNA is filed under the name Drosophila melanogaster (fruit fly). RNAcentral's name for it is "mimi (Dmel_CR31451)". The record is from RNAcentral. Lineage: Eukaryota; Metazoa; Arthropoda; Insecta; Diptera; Drosophilidae.
AAGGGUCGAGUGCGGAUCCCUUGCCCCAGCGGCUAUUCGCCUGCGCACUCGGUCCAUCCCUGGCUCACUACACGAAGCGACGGCGUGGCCCAGUUGGGUGCGGGAAUAGCCGGAUCCGGCCUUAACAACCGGAAAAACCAUUGAGCGCGGGACGCACUCGGCUGUAGGUACGCCGCCCAAACAAGGUCACACCGAGAGACACACGUCCACGAACAGACCAGAGUUCUUCCCGCAAUCCAUCAGACACGCACUGCCAUGGAAAGGUCACGGAAAUCGCAUGGCAGUGUUCACCAAAAUCCAAAUCCAAGCCCAAUCCGUCCCUAGUCCCGCCCCUUGCGAAUCCGCUUGCGGAUUUGUGGGGGUGGGGUGUGGGGCGGCUGGGUGGGAGUUUGAUCAUAACACAAACACGAAACCAAACCAAACACCACCACCCUUUGCGUUCGGCAAAUCACCUCCGGCUGCGAUUAAGGGGCUCAGUGCCAGGGGUUAAUCGGAGCACACUCGACCGAUUUCCGUGACAUACGUCUCUAGCCAAAUGCGGCAGAGAUCGGAGGGCGCGCCCGACGCCACCAGUCGUGGGCUAUGCAAUGGAUUGAACGAAACAUGCGCCAGAGCCAAUUUUUAUAUUUGACCAUUAAGAAAAACCUAUGAUUUUGCUUUACGAUUCGACCCACUAUCAUCCCAGAUUGCGUAGCCUCCGGCGUCCUUGGCGACGCGACGUCGUCGUCCGGACCAUCCUCCAGCACGCCUUCCAAAAUUGGCGUUCACUGGAUCGAUUAGCCCCCAGCAAAUUGAAUCGCAGCCCGCAGGAGAUUUGGUUAUUAUCGCCUCAUUUCGUACAAAGAGAAACCGCAACAAGGAAACACUGCACAUCGUUUUUUACACCCUUGCGUUAUGUUUUUUGAAUGUAUUUAAAAACAAAAACAAAAUGAAAAACCAAAACCAAAUAAUGAAAAACAAAAUAUGAAAACACACAAAACACUGAAAAAAAAAACCAAAAAUAGAAUGUAAGUUUAAAUAAUAUGCUAUUCAAAGAAAUCCAAAACAUGAUUACCCAUAAAAC